CCACAUGUUGUGGGCAAUGUUCGGUGAAAGAUAGGCACCGUCCUCCAGUUCCCGGAUAUCCUUGUCGGAGACGCAUGAGACCUCCCAUUUGCCUUGGGUGCCUGAGUCGGCCAUGGCUGAGCUUGGGGAAGGGCGGCUCGGAGAGGACGGAAAGUGAAAUGGAUCUAGGGGCUAGGAGCUUGAAUGAAAGGGGGGGUCGAGUCUCGAAUGCAUGUGGUGGCUUUGAGGAUAUUUUUCCCUUUAAUGGGGGCCACAAGGCUAAGGGUUCCCGUUUAUUGCGCCGCAGGCCCUGCCACUUCCCGAAAUAACCGUGUCGUUGAACACUCGCAGUAUUACUGAGACCAUUAUUUUUAUCCCCUUAAACGCGGGGGCCGAUCUCCUCAUUGACAAGAUGUUCCCGUGAGAAAGCAGCCUCGAACCGCCAAUCAAGUUUUUGUCAUAACUAGCUGUCGCGGCCUUUUGUCAGAAAGGAUGUCAAAUGAGGAGUUGUUCACGCUCUAGCUUUUAAGCCUUCUGAUUAAGCAGUGGCCAUUUUAAUGGCACAACAUCUACGGUUCCCUUCAUGUUCGACAACUCCUCAUGCACUCAUCUACCGUUCUAGCUCAUACAAUCUCGAGGUAGAUCAACUCUGUAAUCCUCAUACACACCAAUAUAAUCAAGCAAGACGUAGGGUUUUACCUCCUCAAGAGGGCCCGAACCUGGCUAAAUAAUGCCCCUUCGUCUCAUGUAACCCAUCGAUCCAAGGUCCACAGCUCGGUACCCCAUACCCGAGAUCCGUCAGUUUUGACAGCGACAUCGAGGUAUGUGAAAAUCCACCUCUC
Molecule: long non-coding RNA, 821 nt
Filed under: Hordeum vulgare
Lineage: Eukaryota; Viridiplantae; Streptophyta; Magnoliopsida; Poales; Poaceae
Description: long non-coding RNA (HVUL_LNC012000)
Source: RNAcentral